CCCUUAGAUGUCCUGGGCCGCACGCGCGUUACACUGAUGCAUUCAACGAGCUUAUAACCUUGGCCGAGAGGCCUGGGCAAUCUUGUUAACGUGCAUCGUGAUAGGGAUAGAUUAUUGAAAUUAUUAAUCUUGAACGAGGAAUUCCUAGUAAACGCAGAUCAUCAAUCUGCAUUGAUUACGUCCCUGCCCUUUGUACACACCGCGCGUCGCACCUACCGAUUGGAUGGUCCGGUGAAGCCUCGGGAUUGUGGUUCUUGCCGCUUUAUUGUGGCGUGACCGCGAGAACUUGUCUAAACCUUAUCAUCUAGAGGAAGGUGAAGUCGUAACA
Molecule: ribosomal RNA, 328 nt
Filed under: uncultured eukaryote
Lineage: Eukaryota
Description: partial 18S ribosomal RNA
Rfam family: Eukaryotic small subunit ribosomal RNA
Source: RNAcentral